AAACUUACCAGGUCAAGACAUGGGCGUGAUUGACAGGCUAAUGACUUUUCUCGAUUCCAUGGAUGGUGGUGCAUGGUCGCACUUAGUUGGUGCAGUGAUUUGUCAGGUUUAUUCCGGUAACGAACGAGACCUCGGCCUUGUAAAUAGCUAUGCUGCUUACAGGGACAUUGGCGGCUACGCCAAGAAAGCUCGAGGCAAUUGCAGAUCUGGAAUGCCCUUAGAUGUCCUGGGUCGCACGCGUGCUACAAUGACGCCACGAACGAGCUUGCGUGAUGAAAGUUACGCAUAAUCAGCAGUCGGCGUCUUAAGGGAUAGUCUCUUGUAACUGUGGGACUCCAACUAGGAAUGUCUCGUAAGCACAAGUCAACAUCUUGUGUUGAUUACGUCCCUGCUCUUUGUACACACCGCCCGUCGCUCCUACCGAUCGAGUGUUUAGGUGAAUUUGAUGGACGUAAGGAAGUCAAAUAAACCUGAGCACUAGAGAAGAGAAGUCUAGCAUC
This 500-nucleotide ribosomal RNA is filed under the name uncultured Myrionecta. RNAcentral's name for it is "bacterial SSU rRNA". It matches the Rfam family "Eukaryotic small subunit ribosomal RNA", at positions 1211 to 1798 of the family's 1831-position model. The record is from RNAcentral. Lineage: Eukaryota; Ciliophora; Litostomatea; Cyclotrichida; Mesodiniidae.